Molecule: ribosomal RNA, 434 nt
Filed under: Hyperolius cinnamomeoventris (cinnamon-bellied reed frog)
Lineage: Eukaryota; Metazoa; Chordata; Amphibia; Anura; Hyperoliidae
Description: partial 16S ribosomal RNA
Rfam family: Bacterial large subunit ribosomal RNA
Source: RNAcentral
GUCCUCUAAAUAAGGACUAGUAUGAAUGGCACCACGAGGGUUUAACUGUCUCCCCCCUUUAAUCAAUGAAAUUAAUCUUCCCGUGAAAAAGCGGAAAUAAAAUUAUAAGACGAAAAGACCCCAUGGAGCUUUAAACUUAUUAUCACUUGUCUUAACUUUACAGCAAUUCAUAUGAUAAAGAUGCUCUUAAAUAGUUUUCGGUUGGGGCGACCCUGGAGAAAAAUAAAUCCUCCAGAUUGAAAAGCAAAACCCUUAUAUAAGAACUACAAUUCAAAUAAACAAAAAUUUGACAAAACUGACCCAGAACUAACUGAUCAGUGAACCAAGUUACCCUGGGGAUAACAGCGCAAUCCAUUUUAAGAGCCCUUAUCGACAAAUGGGCUUACGACCUCGAUGUUGGAUUAGGGUAUCCUAGCAGCGCAGCAGUUGCUAAA